CAACAAUUCAUAAAUAAUUUGAGUGCCGAAGUAAAAAAUGAAAUUUUAAUCACCAGUUCCAUGCCAUUGGGAUGUUUGAUGAAGAUUUACUACCUUAAAAAUACCAUCAGAAUGUUCAUCCAACUAGCAGAUUGAGAAUGUAUUAUGGGAUAUAGAAAUAGCUUGCAGUGCCAUCAAAUUCUAAAAAAGAACUUAAUUUUCUAUGGAAAUAACUAUUUACUGUAGCUGUGAACUCAAAAUUACGUUAUGCAUCAAGAAAAAUUAAAAAAAAUCUUGGGACACCGGUGUUCCAUAUACAUACGUGAAAGAGAUAUAGGCCAAUAUUCAAACCAUUUGGUUGAAACAUUUUGAACGUUCUUAUUUCGAUUUUCAUCAUUAUAAUGGCAUUUUUAAGCCUAUAGUUAAAGUAAUUUUUGAUGGGGGCUAUAUAUGAGGGGUAGGGUCACUUAUGAGCCGAUCCUCAUAAAAUUUGGUAGAGUGUUUGUGCUUCCUAUAAAACUAGUUUUUGAUGAAUUUCAUCGCUAUACUGGUAUUUCUAAGCCAGGUUUGACUGCUUAAACUGUAUUCUGGGCGGACACUUAUGUAUGUAUAUGGGGCUAUGGGUGAAAUUGUUGUCCGAUACUGUCUAUUUUCAAUA
Lucilia sericata (common green bottle fly) is the source of this 637-nucleotide long non-coding RNA. RefSeq lists it as uncharacterized. The transcript has 3 exons. NCBI's taxonomy places the organism in Eukaryota, Metazoa, Arthropoda, Insecta, Diptera, Calliphoridae. The record is from RefSeq and is a predicted model, not a curated record.